AUGGAGAGCCCAGAUGCAAGUGGUCCAAGAUCUGAGUAAAUAUAUGCGCCCACCUAACCUAACAGGCCCAACCCAAAUCCAUCAACGAUUUUCACAGCAACUCUUCUUCUUCCUCCACUACGCCACAACCCAAGUCCUUCUCAGUUCCAACAAUGGAGAAAGGGGGUUCGAAAAGUUACAAUUACUCUGGUCAUGGAAAACCUCUUAUUAUUAGCCCUAGGGGUCAUACAGCAGAGAUGCUUAAUCUGUUGUUGAAGUUACCGAUACAAUGAGCCUUCAAAAAAAUCUCGCGCACUCGACGACUCCGAGAUUGGGAUCAAGGUGGUAGAAACUGCUCGGUUCAGGCAGAUCUAUCGAAGCAGGGAAGUUGGUCAAUCAUAUUUAGCAUUUGUUUGGACAACCUUGAUUGUGAUGGCUCAUGCACUCUAGCUAAUGACUAAAAUUAGACCCCAAGUGGGGAGCAUUAGGGAAAAUGUACUUUAAAGGGGAUCUGGACUCUUACUUAGGACAGACCAAAUGGAAGUUUUACACUUUUUUAGGCCCCAAUUUAGGUGGACAAUUUCUCAAAUAUCAUUAUGAAGAUGGGAAUGGUACUUAUCUUUGGCAAGCUAGUUGGCAUCUUGGUCCUCUGUUGCUUAAAUAUGUGCCUCGGAUCAGCAAUGAUAGUCAGUACUGUGAAUGGAAAGGUCUCAUCAGCUCACAAUGGAGGAAACUAAAGUUGGCAGCCAGUAGGGUUUGCGGCUUUGGUUCAUAUUCAGGGCAAGUGUUUUGAGGCAAACCUUGAUCAAAAUGUAGCAGAAAAUGUCAAUUUAGAACUACAAAAUCAGGAGAAUUUGAAUGUGGGGGACAUCAUGGAAUGCUAUUAGAUUUAUUCCACCCAAAGUUUUAGCUGUUCUAGCUUACCAACUAUUCUAACUAAUAGACUUUGUUCCAUUUCUUCAAUACAAAGGGCAUAAUGUGCUGAAGUUCUUGCCCCACUGUUGGCCCUUUUUGAGAUUAAUUGCCAUUGCCAUUGCAAAUUCGCAAACAGCAUGGCACAUCCUCUACCCUCUUCCAACGAGUUUCCAAAAGAUGAAAGACAUGGUGAUCUUGAGAGCAUAUGGCAUUGGCAUGACUCUGAAUAUGACCUUCGGCAAUUAUGACUCUAAAUCCCAUCGUAGCAGUCCAUCUCAACCCCCAAACCAAUGCCACGGCAAGAGCUUUAGUCUUAGUGUUUGUUGCUCUUUCCUUGGUACUUAAAGUCUUCUCCGAUGCAAAUUUUCCAUGGUUGGUAAUGAGUUAGUACAAGCUCAGCAAAACAGAUGUCUGCACUCAUUGGGAAUGUUCAGUUUCCAUAGGACUCUUCACCCAAACAACUCGGUGCUCAGAAGAGGAUAAAUUUUCUUCAGGCACAGCCAAUGAAUUUAUUUACUCUAUAUCUCUUGUAUCAAAGAGUUGUUCUAAAAGGGAGACCGUUCCACCGCGGACCAUCACAAUUUGUUCGGCACUAUGACGUGUUGUUUCUUGAACAUUUGUAUUGUGUAGUUUUGUAUUAUGGUGCACACGUGAUAUGCUAAAAGGUUUAUUCAAUGUCAAUGCUAUUGAAUUGUAGUUAAA
Molecule: long non-coding RNA, 1596 nt
Organism: Quercus lobata
Lineage: Eukaryota; Viridiplantae; Streptophyta; Magnoliopsida; Fagales; Fagaceae
Exons: 4
Source: RefSeq, a predicted model, not a curated record